AGACUCCUACGGGAGGCAGCAGUGGGGAAUUUUGGACAAUGGGGCGCAAGCCUGAUCCAGCAAUGCCGCGUGAGUGAAGAAGGCCUUCGGGUUGUAAAGCUCUUUUGUCAGGGAAGAAACGGUUGGGGCUAAUAUCCCCGGCUAAUGACGGUACCUGAAGAAUAAGCACCGGCUAACUACGUGCCAGCAGCCGCGGUAAUACGUAGGGUGCAAGCGUUAAUCGGAAUUACUGGGCGUAAAGCGUGCGCAGGCGGUUUUGUAAGUCUGAUGUGAAAUCCCCGGGCUCAACCUGGGAAUUGCAUUGGAGACUGCAAGGCUGGAAUCUGGCAGAGGGGGGUAGAAUUCCACGUGUAGCAGUGAAAUGCGUAGAGAUGUGGAGGAACACCGAUGGCGAAGGCAGCCCCCUGGGUCAAGAUUGACGCUCAUGCACGAAAGCGUGGGGAGCAAACAGGAUUAGAUACCCUGGUAGUCCACGCCCUAAACGAUGUCUACUAGUUGUCGGGUUUUAAUUAACUUGGUAACGCAGCUAACGCGUGAAGUAGACCGCCUG
This 550-nucleotide ribosomal RNA is filed under the name bacterium DR2A-55G10. RNAcentral describes it as "bacterial SSU rRNA". It matches the Rfam family "Bacterial small subunit ribosomal RNA", at positions 333 to 875 of the family's 1533-position model. The record is from RNAcentral.